UACGUAGGGGGCAAGCGUUGUCCGGAAUCAUUGGGCGUAAAGAGCUCGUAGGCGGCUCGGUAAGUCGGGUGUGAAACCCCCAGGCUCAACCUGGGGACGCCACCCGAUACUGCUGUGGCUAGAGUCCAGUAGGGGAGUGUGGAAUUCCCGGUGUAGCGGUGAAAUGCGCAGAUAUCGGGAGGAACACCAGUGGCGAAGGCGGCGACCUGGGCAGAUACUGACACUGAGGUGCGAAAGCGUGGGGAGCAAACAGG
Molecule: ribosomal RNA, 254 nt
Filed under: uncultured bacterium
Lineage: Bacteria
Description: partial 16S ribosomal RNA
Rfam family: Bacterial small subunit ribosomal RNA
Source: RNAcentral